UUUUUUUUUUUUUUUUUCUUAUUUCUAAUAGUAAGACUCCAUGAGCUACAUUUUGACCUUGCAGGGGAGAAAAUAUGAAGCCGUAGUAGCAACUGAUGUAUGGGAAAAAUCUGGAUAUUAAUAUACACAGCAAUCCCAAUGAGGCUAGAGCAACACAAAGAGAUUGAUGUUUUUUCUCAGGUCACAGUUUUGCCUCUGGCAGUAUUAGCAUGAAUGCCAUUUAGUCAUCAGUGUGAUUUUGUUUAUAAAGGCAGAUGUAUUCCUACCUUCUGUAUUAUAUUUUUUUUCCCCUUCAGCUUAGAACUUGAGGGCUGAUAAUUUUAGUGAGGCUGCUGGCAGUUGUUCCUUUUGCAAGGGUGAUCAGGAAAUGAAGAACAUUUGAUUCUCACAAUAAUUAAAUAGGAUGGCUCACAACGGAAGAUUAGCUUGGCCUUUCUGGACUUUCAUACUCAGCAUCACAGAAACACUGCACAAUCAUUCAUGAUUUUCUGUCUGCUUUCCAUUUUCCUUAUUGUCACGAAUCAAGUGAGAAUGCCCUGCAUUCAUAAUUUUUAAGUAUACUUCAAAUAAUAUAUUUAAGCAAAUGGUUGGGCAGUCAGCACCUCCCACAGGUAUGAAAUUACCUCUAGCUUCCAAGGGGGAGAAAGUUUAAUAAUUUCACUUCUUCCAUGAUUUGUAUUUAUUGAAGUAGUUAACAUUUGUCUUCUCAUGGAAAUUGCUGACUUUUUAAAGUCUCUGGCUUUAAAAAAUGACAAAAAGAACAGAACCAAUGAAGGCUCCAAAGUAUGUUCUGCUGACAGAAAAAAAAUGGUGUAAAAGUAUUUUAAAUCACUUUUCAAUAAAUGCAAAAUAAAGGCCAAAUUUUAUUGUGCUAGGACAUAAAUGGCAGUUGAAGCAAGCCAAGACAUCAACUGUAAUGACAUUUCCACUGCAGCUGGCCCAUCAUCACAAAUGGUUUUAGUGGGUUGUGUUUCCAGCUUUGGAGCUCAGAAUUCACCCAAAGUGAUGCUGCCUGUGAAUGUGUUAAGGAAACAGUGUUGAUGUUCCAGUGAUCACCCUCUGGAAAGGCUUCCCAUGAUCCAUCUUUGCAAGGGCUUGGUCCUUCCUAGGCAGCUUCUGGAUCCUCCUCACCCUUGGAGCGUGCACACCACUUCCAGGUUAAUUUUGCAGCCUCUGUGAUGCAUUUUUCUUUCCCAUACACACAAUCUUACAAUUUCCCAGUCACACAAUUAUACCUGCUACACAGGUAGCAGAAGCCUGGAUUCCCCUUGCAGCCUCUUCAAGUGCUGCUGUGGCAGGAGCAGGAUGCAGCCCUGGCAGAUGGGUUGCAGCAGUGAGUCAAAGCUGUUGCAUAAGCUGCAAUGGGGUAAACUUGGACUACCAGGAACAUUCCCAAAUCAGAAGUCUUCCUCUCCCCACCUCACCCCCCAACACCUCAAAAAUCCCAGGCAGAAAAGAUCCGAAGAUUGCACUUACGUUGGAUUGGUUUUGAUGUUUUGAGAUGAACAGAGUUUGCAGUUCCAAAAUGAUGAUCUGUAAUCUCCAGGGCUAGGAAUGCAAUUAAAAGGAAAGAUGUGUUUGUAUGUGUGGGUGGGUGUGCAAUAUUCUCAGGCUUGUGGCCUUGAGAGGAAACAGUAAAUAGCAUAUGAAACUCCAUAAAACGGUAAGCGUUGGCAGCUUUGUUCCUCCAGGAUUAUGCACCAGCCUAAAGAAAUAAAACUUUGUUACCUAAUAGGAUAGACAGAAUCUUGGCAAAGAUGAAACUGGCAGGUACUACGCAUGAGCAGAGCAUGGUGAACCUCAUGUUUGGUACAAUUAAAGCCUUUUUACAGGAAAUUUUGUGAUAAGACAUUUUAAGCUGGGAAUUCUCUUUGUUUCUUGCAGAGAUUGUAAAAAAACUGAGGCUUUUUUUCCAAAACCAGUAAACUUUUCUUCAAUUAGACAAACUCUGCCCUCUUACCCUUCCCAAAAGGUAGUAGAUAAAUUGGAGUUGGAUAUAUAAAUCUAUUUUACUCAGGAACCAGAUACACCAAUAAAUCAAUCCUUUCUUGCUACGUAUGCAAUAUCUAAAUGGCACAUUCACAGAUGCCAAAUAAGUUUCCCUAACUAAGGAAACUGCUCAACACACUUCAGAUCUUUAUAGCAACGCCUAAAGUACCACCCUAAUAGCAUCAGUGGAGUAGAAACUGUUUAGCAGAAUAGCACAGAUUUUAUAUAGGGUCUUCCUUAGGUUGAUAUUUUUAGUCUUCAGAUUUCAUUUAUUCUUGCUGAAUUAGUAGAGCCUUUCAGAAUAUGUGUUUUAUUUCAAAUCUGCAAUCUUGACAGCAGGUUUUCAGCUAGUUCUCUGUCCUAUGGCAAACCUUACCUGUUCCUUUCAUAUAACAAAUACAGAGGGAAGAUAAAGCAUACAGGAUUUGGCCACACUCUCAGAAAUUCAUGAAACAUGGCAUUUCUUGCUGUGAGAAAAACAGCUAAAUGAUUGCUGCUUUAUCUUGUAAAACAAAUGUAUCCUGUCCAACAGAGAUGAUAAUUCUCACUGACCUGAAUGCUUAUAGAUUUUACCCCUAAAUAUCUGACUUUCAGAAGAGCUCAGAUCCUACUUCAGCAUUUAAAUGAAACUCUCAUGGCUUCCAGCUGCUCUUUCCAAGGAUUAGAUGCCCAAAUGAAUCUACCACUCACACAUACCUUGGUGUCUAAAUCAGGAUAUCUAGGUGCUGGGCUCAUUCAAAGAUUAAGAUCUUUGAACAAAUAAUGCUAAGUUACACUUAGCUGCUGAAAAACCUAGUGCUAACUACAACAUGGAGUGGCAGCUUUUUAAUGCUGCCAUUUUACAAAGUAAGUAUCUACAGUUAGUCCCCUAAAUUCUUAUUUGGAUACCCUCCUUUAAAUCACAUGCAUAUAGUUGCAGAUGGAGAUACCACACUCAUACAUACCCAUUUUAGAUUAACAUGGCAUAAAAGCCAGCAUAGCUAAUACCAGCUAUCACUAAGUAAUAAGCUAUUUCUACUAAAUUGCUGCAAAACUGCUGCAUUGAGAGGUGAAUAUGAGCACUGAGAGAUAGUGCACUGAUUCUUUUGUGCUAUUAAGUGAAUGAUAAAAAAAUUAGUUGAAAAACCAAAUCCUGGUGCACCAAGUUUUUGGUGUGAAAACUCUCCUUUUAUGGAAAUGACAAGAUCUUGAGCAGUAAAGGCACAGCUGGUGCUCACAUCUGGGCUAGGAAAAAAAGGGCCAGUGAUGACGAGUUGCAGCAAAAACAGAGGGUCUUCCAAGGGAAAAAAGUGGAAUAUUUAGUGUUGUGGAAAGGCUCUUGUAUGUAUAACUGGGACUCUUCACUGAAGAAGAUGAGUAGAAGAUGAGGGGACUUUAGGAUCAUACACAGAAGUUCUCUGAUUCUGUAAGCAUUGAGGACAGGGAUAUAAAUCUUUUAUCAUGAGACCCCCCCUUAGCUCAAAUUUAGAGAUUUUUAUGAGACUCCAUGCUCUUGUGUAACUUUCUGUGAGGAUUUUUUGCCUAAAGGGGCCUAUUUUGGUCAGUGUUGAGGACACGGUGUCUGACUGCAUGGACUGCUGCUCCCAGCCACGCUGGCAGCUUGUGUGGUCACUCUGUGGCCCUGACUGUCAAAUAAUCAAGUAGGUACUCGUUGUGAGAGCUUUUCAGCUUAGCACUCCACUUCUGCUUCUGAAAAGAGCUGAGCUCCAGGUCAGCACUGAAAAAUCUGAAGUAGAUGACAGUCAGUGAGGAAGAGUGAAAAGAAAGAGAAAACUGCUAUUUAUUAUCACCUAAUAACUUGGCUCAUUUUUUGGGGUAUGUCUAAAGACCUAUUUGGAUCUUUUAUGAUGGGACAUGUGCUUAACUUCAAGAAGGAGACAAUUACACUGUGAGAAAACUCAGCAGAGCAUAUAUGUUUAAUAUGAUCUGCAUAAUAACAUAAAUCUAGCGUCUAUGUGAAGAUGAUUUCAGCUGUCUCAUACAGAAAGGCAGCUGGAUUUUUGGAUGAGGCCACCCACUGCCAGGAGAAAAAUGCUUGAAUCUUCAAUACCUUUGAUUCACGGGCUUUAGGAGGUGAGAAUCAUACUGUCACAGCAUGUGCCUGGGAAGCAUGUUAAAUUUCCUACGCCUUGUCCUCUCCCCUUCUCUCACAGUCUGCUUCUAAAUUGAACUCUCUGCUUAUGAAACUUUAACUUUCUGAUACCUCUACAUGAAUCCUGUUUUCCAUUUUGACAGAAAUUUUACUGAAGGAUAAAAAAAAGGGGUUCCCCCCCCACCCUUGUCUCUGCAGCACUGACAGUUUUGUGCUUGUCCUUUCUUGAAACAUCUAAGUUAAUUUUAUAGUUAUUGAGGAGCACGGUGGAAAUGCAGCUUUACAACCUUUAACAACAACACAACACCCUCCUGUCUGUAAUCUCCACCUCCUGUACCUAUUCUUGCAAACCACCUGGAGCAAUGUUUCUGCCUCAUAAAUCUGAGCCUUUAAGAAGGGCAGCAUUGCAUGCACUGCUCUAGCUGAAGUAGUCUAUCUGGCUGAUUUUUCUGCUAAUGCCUUUUUGAUGCGUUGCUGGUAAAUAGCUUUAUUUGUAAGAGAUUACGGUCGCGGCAAAAAAUCCCAAUAGUGACAAAAAAUAACUGUUAUGGGCAAUGCUGGAUUUUCCACUCAUUUGUGGUUUACCUUUAGCCUCCAGUUAAGCUUGUUGCCAAUUAUUUUUUUUUUGUGCCUGCUAUACACAGACCACAGAGGGUUUUGUUCUUCCUUUGUCUAAAGUCCCAUACCAUCAAUUAGAACAGGAAGACAGGUUCCUCUGUGGUAUUUGAAUCCGAGCAAACCUAAAACAAGCAAUGUUUUGCUAAUCUUUACAUGCACCUGCAGAGGAACAGAGGCUGCACCUGGGUGGAAAAAAAAGUUACCAGUAGCUUUUAAUGUGCAAAGCUCUUGAAUGUAGCAAUUACACAAGGCAAAUUGUGAGGGGGUGUGGUUUAUUGGUGACUGCUUUUAUUGUACCUUAUCAUAUGCAGAAAGUGACUCAUCUGAUACAGAAAUGGCUCUUUAGGGAUCAACAUAUGCACCUGAGCCUAGAACUACAUUUAAAAGGUAUGAAAGAGAUCUCUUACAACAUAGCUAGAUGAAUAAUAUUGCAAAUCCAUGGGGUUUUGACAGGUAAUUAAUCAAAAAUUAUCCAUAUUUAGAUACUUAGGUGCUAGGCAUUAAGAAAGAAAUCUGCCUUUUCUGUAUGGUAACUCUGAGAGCUGCACAUUUUUAACACAUCUAAAAAUCAGGCUGCUGAUGUUGAUGCCUAUGUUUUUUCCAGAGUCUGUGUAGUUGGAUGAGCUGUAGCAUAAUGGUGGAAGCCCUUUCCCUUUAGAGAAGGAACCAGUGAUUGUGUAGUGGCAGCAGCCGGGUCUAUGCUGGCAUGUGGACCCACAUGGUCACAUCGGCAUGGCAAAAUAUCUGUCAGAGCCUUUGGGAAGUCCUGAUCCAGCUGAAGACUGGGCGCCUAGCUGUGUCCCUGGGUGUUUAGUGCACUGCUUCAGAGUUUUCUGGCACAGAGCAGCUUGCUUUU
RNAcentral lists this long non-coding RNA (5555 nucleotides) under Taeniopygia guttata (zebra finch). RNAcentral's name for it is "lncRNA (ENSTGUG00000022778.1)". Lineage: Eukaryota; Metazoa; Chordata; Aves; Passeriformes; Estrildidae. The record is from RNAcentral.